Molecule: ribosomal RNA, 468 nt
Filed under: uncultured bacterium
Lineage: Bacteria
Description: partial 16S ribosomal RNA
Rfam family: Bacterial small subunit ribosomal RNA
Source: RNAcentral
GACGAACGCUGGCGGCGUGCUUAACACAUGCAAGUCGAACGGAAAGGCCCUGCUUUUGUGGGGUGCUCGAGUGGCGAAGGGGGGAGUAACACGUGAGUAAACUGCCCUUGACUUUGUGAUAUCUUCAGGAAACUGGGGCUAAUACCGGAUAGGAGCUCCUGCAGCAUGGUGUGGGUUGGAAAGUUUCGGCGGUUGUGGAUAGACUCGCGGCUUAUGCGCUUGUUGGGCGGGUAGGUGCUGACCAAGCCUUUGAAGGGUAGGCGGCCUGGGAGGGUGGCCGGCCACAUUGGUACUGAGAGACGGCCCAGUAGCCAACGGGCCGCAGCAGGCGAGAACAUUGCACAGUGGGCGGACGCCUGAGGCAACGACGCCGCGUGCGGGAUGACGGGCUUCGAGUUGUAAACAGCUUUCGACGGUGACGUGGCGUGAGUGACGGUACUGAGUAAAGAAGCACCGGCUAACUACGUG